UUGUUCCCCUUUCUUCCAUAAGGGUUUUGUGACCAUGAUCUUGAGGUGCUCAAUUGAAAUGCCGAAUAUUAGUUAUGCUUGGAAAGAACUAAAAGAGCAACUGGGCGAGGAUAUUGAUUCCAAAGUGAAGGGAAUGGUCUUUCUGAAAGGAAAGCUGGUAAGGCUGGGCCCUUUCUCAGACUUCACUUUGGUUCAGUAGCUGAAUGUGGGCAGUAAAACAGAAUGAUGUCUUCUUGGUGUUCUGUGGGGAGGCUGCCUUUAUUUUUUCACUCUGUGCCUGCACUGACCCCUGCAAUUGUGGGGGGCUCUUAGUUACUGACAACUAACUACCCGUGUCUAUGUUUCCAGCCCAAACCAUUCUGUACACCAUGCAAGCCGAAAAGAUCAAAUUACUGCACUGAUAACUUCACAUGGCUUAAUUAAGUAACUAAUUCAGCAUAUUUCCUUUUUUGGUGGUAGCGGGGAUGGGAUUCAAUUUACAUGCUAUGCAAGUACUCUAUAACACUGAGCUAAGCCAGCCUACCCUCCCCCGCGCCCCCCCCCCUUUUUUUUUAUCUUUUUUUGAGACAAUGUCUCACUAAAUUACUGAGGCUCGCUUCUAAUUUGCAAUCCUCCUAUCUCAAUCUCCUGAGAAGCUAGGAUUACAGGCAUGUACCAACAUGCCUAGCUUUAGUUCAUGUUCUUGAAUUCAGGUUCAAAAUUUGAAUUUUUGCUGGGUACAGUGGUGCACACUUAUAGCCUCAGCAACUUCGUGAGGCCCUUACCAACCUAGUGAAAUUCUGUCUCAAAAUAAAAAAUAAUAAGGGAUAGGGUUGUGGCUCAGUGGUUAAGUGCCCCUUAGCUAAUCCCUGGCACAAUAAAUAAAUAAAUAAAUAAUUCUUGCCUGCCAAACCUAGAAAACUUCAUUUUUCCUUUAUGGGAAAAUGAGUGAAAGGCACAGAUUUAUUAUGAAGAUAGUUUUAACUGGAAUCCUGAAGAGCCUUAGGUUUCCAAAGGUGCACUGCUGGUGAAAGAAAUCAUAUUUACCCCAAAGGUAUGUGGAGUUGCUUGAGGUAAACAGUGUGAUCAAACAGGCAGUGAGCUGUCUUCAGGUAAAGGUAAACCUGCCCUGGUUACCAGUUUCAGCUCCAUCUCAUCAUCCCCAACACCCUUUACUCUGGCUGUGCCAAGUACACCAUGCUGUCUUCAUUCAUGAGUGAAGACUGAGCCCCUACUUUUCCAGUAUUUUACUGUCCACAGUGUCCCUUAAAGUUCCCUGUAAAGCUUUGCUGUCCUUACCAGGCAGAGUUAGGGGCAUCGUUAUCUGUACUUCAGAGUUCUUAGAACAUAAUAUUUAUUUAGGUAAUUUUUGCCUUGCUGUCAUUUGCUUUCUGACUGAAAUCCUCAAGAGCACUGUGAUCUACACAGUGGUAAAAAUAUGCAUUCUAAUCAUCUGUACCCCAUUGAAUGAUAUUGUACUCUAAACACUAAGUAAGUAUGUGAAUGGAGAUUCCCAUGAUUGACAGAAUCCAUCAGUACCUAAUGAUACUCAUGUUAGCAUUGGGCGAACUGCUGGGCAAAAGGGGUGCUUCUGAUAAAAUCCUGUAGUUAAAAGACAAUAGGGAGAGGAGUGACUGUCUGUUACAGGGUAGUUUUUGACAGGCUUGUGGGUAUCUUCCCUUGGAGAGGAGGGCACUUACCAUCAAAGAUCUUAUCCUAUAGCAUUAACUUUUUCAUCCUCUUUCACAGGUGGCUGAAUUAUGAAAAACUAGAAAAUUACGUUUUUGUUGUUGUUAUUUGUUUUGUUUUGUUUCUUGCUCUUAGUUUGGUCGUUCUAAAUAGCUGGCAGUGCUUUUCUAAUGGAAGGCAGUAAAGUGUAAUGGUUUUUAAGCCCUACACACCAUAUUUUAAAUACCUGCCCCACUUAAAUCGUUGUGGGGCUUUACACAAGUCAAUCAGACUCUCCAAUUUUGUUUCUUCAGCUAUAAAAUAUAGCUAGUAGCCUUUCUGUACCAUCCCACAAGGUCCAACUUAACUCUUUCUCUUUAUUAAAAAAAAAAAGAAAAAAGUAGUUGAGAGGUACUCAAGGAUUAAGCACAGUGUGAUAGCCAAGAAUAUAUCUACAGUCAAGAAGUUCCAAAUUGUUUUGAGUCCUUCUUAACUGUUCCUUGACUUUCUGCUUUUGUGUUUUGGGUAACUGUAGUGUAUUGGCUUUAGACUAGAGUUCAUUUAAAAUUAAUAUUUGAAAGCUGGUAUAUGCCUGGGAGGCUGAGGCAGGAGAAUCAUGAGUUCAAGGUCAGCCUCACCCUUUUUCUAAAUAAAUACAUAAAACUGGGUGAAUUUUAUUAUUUUCUUUGCAAUACUUGUAUUUAUGGUAUCACUUAGUGUGUAUUGAUUAUAUUAACUUAUAUUUUCUUUGAUUUCUAGGGUGUUUGUUUUGAUAUCCCUACUGCAGCAGUCACAGAAAUACAGGUAUUUUCUCUUGGACUUUUUGUUUUUACAGUACUGGAGGUUGAACCCAGGGCUUUACACAUGCUCAGCAAGUGCUCCAACACUGAACUAUACCUUCCCCCCUUUCUCCUGGACAUUUUAAAGUUAAUAUACAUAAGCUGGGAAGUGUUCAUUGUGAAAAUACAGAAUGAUAGGGUGGCGGACACGACAGCUCUGGUCUCUUAUCAAAAGACAGUUGAGAAUUACAUCUUGGUACUUUUUUCUCCUGUCCUUUUUAUUCUCACAUUUGUUGUUGAGCCUGCCUUUUUUCCUUUCUGGAGUUGUGAGUGAUGUCCAGGCCCUCCCCACCCACCUUAUACAUGUUUUCGUACACAUUUUAACUUGAGAGAUGGAUUUGUAAAUGUGCAUUUGUUUUAUUACCCCUGACAGCUAGAGACCAAGUAGAGGUGAAAUGAAAAAAUGAUGCAGUGAGGAGGCUCCAAGUGAAAAUUAUUUUUUAGUGGCAUCUGGGCUAUGAGAGUCAGUAUUUGGAACAAAUGGCCUUUUAACACUUAUGUUAUCAACCUAGUUGUUUGUUGGAGAAAUGACAACAAUGUUGUUUUUUUCAUGCCUUUUAAACCAUUUGAAUAAAAAUCAAAGGUGAAAACAGAACUUUCUCUCAACAGGAGAAAUGGCAUGAUUCACGACGCUGGCAGCUCACUGUGGCCACAGAGCAACCUGAGCUGGAAGGACCACGGGAAGGAUAUCGAAGCUUCAGGGGUCAGCGAGAAGGCAGCCGUGGUUUCAGAGGACAGCGGGAUGGAAAAAGAAGCUUCAGGGGACAGCGGGGAGGAAGCAGAAACUUCAGAGGAGGAUCAGGAGGUGGAAACAAAAGCAACAGAUCCCAAAACAAAGGCCAGAAGCGGAGUUUUAGUAAAGCAUUUGGUCAGUGAUUAGAAGUAGAGGAUUUGUGUGGCAGAAACAGGACUAUGGCACUAUGGAACUGAGUGGUAUUUUUCACACAGAAUUAAAGGCAGGUUGUUUCCUUUUGACCACUUGGCCAGUCCAUAUCCCCAGAAGAAAGACAGGCUUAAUCUAAAUUAUUUCAUCUGAUCAUUAUCAUUUCUAACUUUAUUGCUUUUAUUGGGUUUUCCUUUUGAAAAGUAAUGAAUUGAUUACAUUGUUAUUCUGAUAUAUUCUCUGUAGAUAUAAGAUAGAAUCAAGCAUGUAUGUCUAUACUUGUAAGUUGAUCUUCUUGUGUUUGUGUGCUGGGGAUUGAACCCAGGGCCUCCCACAUGCUAAGCAUGUGCCCUGUCACUAAGCUACUUAAUAGUAGCUUAAUAGUGUGCUCUUAAUAGUAUCCUCUUAAUAGUAUGCUCUUAAUUGUAUGCUUCCCUAAAGUAAAUAUUUACGGGAAUACAAUAAUCUGUGAAGGACCACAUUAGCCUUUAAAAGUCAAAAGCUUUGUUUUGUAAUUGGUAUCUUCAGCCUCCUGCCAGGUACUUAGUUGUGUGGUUCUCUAAUUUGCCUUCUGAGAAUUUAUACUGAGCAAUGUUUUGAAAUGAGUUUCAAACUUAGCUAGGUUGUGAUAGUUUAUGCCUGUGUAUAUGGUCUAGAUUUGAAGGAUGAAAUAACAUUCAAUAUAGGUUACCCAUGGUCAUGUGCAUUUUUAAACGCUUUUAGCUUCUCACUGUAAGGUGAGUCAUGCUUCAGUAAGUUCUUCACAGAUAAUAUAUAUAGAGAGAGAAAUACAUUUUGAUAGAAAGCCUGUGACUUUAAGGAAUUCCAAAUGUAUAAGAUGGCUCUGUAGCUUUCUUUGUAAAUAAGGAGGCUAGAUAAAUAGUGUUUGAAUGAUUGUACUCCACUUCUUCCUAUUGGAAGAUCAACAUUAUUAAGAAGGAAUUAAGGGAAUAGGGGACACAGGUUUGUGUAGAGUAUGUGCAAAAAAACUCACUAAAAAUAUUCUUUACAUGUAAGAAGGAAUAUUAAUAAGUGAAAAGCAAAGAGUACAAGUGAAGAUGCAUGAUAAAACAUUAUUUUAAUGAUUGAUGUGUAUUUCAAGAGGUUUACUUUUAAUGGGCAAACUGGGGUUUUGGGGGAGAAUGGUCUGCUGUAGUUUCUCAAUAGCCUAGAUUUUAAAGCCACAGAGUAGGACCUGUUUCUGUAAAACUGAUUCUCUCUUGAAAUGCUUUCAUUGAUUUAGAGACUUCCUUUAAGACAAACUGAAUGGUUAUUUAAGUUGUUUCUCUGUGGGAACUGAAUACUUAUUGUAGUUCCUGUCAGAUAACUACACCUGAGGACUUCAGUGUUUGUUGGAAACAUUCUACACAGCAUAGGUGCUCCAGAGUGGCAUUGUCCUCUUGCCUUAAUUUCUAGAAAUUGUCUUUGGUCUGUUUUUUUCCUCUAAUUGCCUCUCACUUGAUCAACUAGCAAAAAGGGGCUCUGAUAGCCAAUUUAGCUCCUGAUCAUUGAAAACAUCCUUUUUCUGUUUGAGCUUCAGUUUUAUCCGUAAGUCUGGGACCAGGUAUUUCUUGCUGUUUGAGAAUUCUCUUGGCCUUUUAUUCUUUUAUCCAUUUGUCAAUUUUAUCACUUUGUUUUUAUUCCUCAUGGAUUCCCAUCAAGCCACAGGGAAUUAGGAAAAGGUAUUUGAUGACAGUCCACAUGUGCCUUUGGGUUAUAAUUUAUUAGAUUCUGGUUUUGUUCAGAUACUUGGACAUGCUUUAGUAGAAACUAAAACAUCUAACAAUUUGGAUAGGAAUGGGUAACCUCAGGCAGUUUUGAAGACUAUAGUAACUGUGCAUGAUGGGAGUACACACCUGUAAUCCCAGCUGUUAUGGAGGCUAAGUCAAGGAGGAUCACAAGUUUGAGGCCAGCCUGGACAAAUGAUGAUAUUUUGUCUCAAUGAAAUUUUGAAAGGGGCUGGAUGUGGUAGAGCACUUGCCUAGCAUGUGAGACCUUGGGUUCGAUCCCAAGUACUAAAAAGAUUUGAUAGCUAUCCUUUAUGAAAGAUAGCUAAACCUUUUUUAUGUGGAUUAUGGAUUAGCCUAAAUUAGAAAAAUGAUCAGGCAUAAUGAAGAGUGAAAAGGAAGAGUAAUAGGAAUUUCACUUUAUACAACUUAAUUUUAAGAAAAACAUGGCUCUUUCAAUAAACGAAGCUAACAUUUCUUUUGGAUUCCAGAAUUCAAACCAUAUUUAUAAGUGUAUAAUUGAGCUGUUAUUUGGUUUAAGUGGACUUUUUGGGCUAGCCUGGGAAAUGUUAUCAUUUUUACUGUUUUCUACAGAGAAAAUAUUUUCAGAGUUAUGUGUCAAAUAAUUCAACAGACUUAAAAAUUACAACCCAUUUUUGUGUUGGAGCUCUGUGCAGUGUUUCCUCUGCAGUUGUACAUAAAAUGUUUUUACUGUAAAUGAGUUAAUAUAACAUGUUACUUUAUGCCAUAAUAAAAAAAGAUAUUAGUACUUUAUGGUUUUGGUGGCUUUUUGUUUUCUAAAAUGAAAAUAGCCCAAAAUCAUAUUAUAAAAACAAUAAAAGUUGACCAUAAAAAUCUAAGAAUAAAAACAAAGUCAAGAGUCACACCAUGUCUGAUAUUUUGGUGAGCAAUAUUCCGUAUAUUCAUUUAUAAAAUUAGAGUCAUCCAGUUUUGUGACUUAUCUGGAAUUGUUUCUCUGCCCCCCCAACGUUCUGUGCACACCUUUCUGUAAACACAGAUCUAGGAUGACUGUUUCUUAGUGUUUUGGCACAGAGGAUUGAACUUCAGUACUUUACCACUUAGCUAUUCCCCCAAGUUCCCUGCCCCCUCCCCUUUUAUUUUUUAAAGAUUUGAGAUGGUCUCACUGAAUUGCUGAGGCUGUCCUCAAACUUGGGCUCCUCCUACCUUAGUCUCUCAAGUAGCAGGGAUUAUAGGUGUGUGCCACCAUUACCCACUCCAGUGAUAUUUUUGAUACCGUGUUUUCUCAAAUAGAUAAGCCACUACACAUUUAACUCAGACUGGCUAACCACAUCGGUAUUUCCUCAUUUUUCACUAUCUUAGGCAACUCUACAGUUAUAGCCUACUUUAUAUCUGUAUAUUUGUCUGUUAUUUUAGGAUAUGUUUUCUAAAAGAAUUGCAGAAUGAAAGUGAAUGUACUUGAGUUUUUGGUGUAAAUUGCUCUCCAAAUUAGUACCAAUUUACAUUUCAAUCAAUGUCUCUGAGAACCUGUUUCCCUGCACCACUGCACAAUUAGAUUUUAUCUUUUUCAGUUUGCUAGGCACCAAAUAAAAUUGCAUUGUUUUAUUUGCAUUCUUUAAUUGAGGAAUAACAUCUCAUAAUGGCUAUUUAUGUUAUUUUUAUUCAUUAAACAUUUGUCAGUUUUUAAAUUGGGAGCUGUCUUUUGUUGAUAAGAGUUCUUUAUUAUUAGCAUGUAACAUUUUCCAAAUUCAUUUGUAUUUCAACUGAAGUGUUUUUUUGACAUGGAAUUUUAUAUUUUUAUGCAAAUGUAACCCGUCUUUUAUUGUUUUUAUUAUCAAGGAAAUGCCUAAAUAAACUCUCAAGUUUCACUUGCUCCUAAUUGACUUAAAAAUCACUAAUUUUGG
RNAcentral lists this long non-coding RNA (6979 nucleotides) under Marmota monax (woodchuck). The record is from RNAcentral. Lineage: Eukaryota; Metazoa; Chordata; Mammalia; Rodentia; Sciuridae.